UACGUAGGGGGCGAGCGUUGUCCGAAGUUACUGGGCGUAAAGCGCGCGUAGGCGGUCAUUUAAGUCUGAGGUGAAAGGUUCAGCGCUCAACGUGAACAGUGCCUUGGAUACUGGGUGACUUGAGUUCGGGAGGGGGCAGUGGAAUUCCAGGUGUAGCGGUGAAAUGCGUAGAUAUCUGGAGGAACACCGAUGGCGAGGGCAGCUGCCUGGCCCAGAACUGACGCUGAGGUGCGAAAGCGUGGGGAGCGAACGGG
This 254-nucleotide ribosomal RNA is filed under the name uncultured bacterium. RNAcentral's name for it is "partial 16S ribosomal RNA". It matches the Rfam family "Bacterial small subunit ribosomal RNA", at positions 524 to 776 of the family's 1533-position model. The record is from RNAcentral.